Molecule: ribosomal RNA, 492 nt
Filed under: uncultured bacterium
Lineage: Bacteria
Description: partial 16S ribosomal RNA
Rfam family: Bacterial small subunit ribosomal RNA
Source: RNAcentral
AGUGAACGCUGGCGGUAGGCCUAACACAUGCAAGUCGAACGGCAGCACAGUAAGAGCUUGCUCUUACGGGUGGCGAGUGGCGGACGGGUGUGGAAUACAUCGGAAUCUACUUUUUCGUGGGGGAUAACGUAGGGAAACUUACGCUAAUACCGCAUACGACCUACGGGAGAAAGCAGGGGAUCUUCGGACCUUGCGCGAUUGAAUGAGCCGAUGUCGGAUUAGCUAGUUGGCGGGGUAAAGGCCCACCAAGGCGACGAUCCGUAGCUGGUCUGAGAGGAUGAUCAGCCACACUGGAACUGAGACACGGUCCAGACUCCUACGGGAGGCAGCAGUGGGGAAUAUUGGACAAUGGGCGCAAGCCUGAUCCAGCCAUACCGCGUGGGUGAAGAAGGCCUUCGGGUUGUAAAGCCCUUUUGUUGAGAAAGAAAAGCAGCAGGUUAAUACCCCGCUGUUCUGACGGUACCCAAAGAAUAAGCACCGGCUAACUUCGUG